Long non-coding RNA from Alexandromys fortis (reed vole), 1368 nucleotides. RefSeq lists it as uncharacterized. The record is from RefSeq and is a predicted model, not a curated record. The transcript is spliced from 2 exons. NCBI's taxonomy places the organism in Eukaryota, Metazoa, Chordata, Mammalia, Rodentia, Cricetidae.
AGGCGGAGGACGGAAACGACCUGUGGGGGAGGGGGAGGGCGUGAACGAGGCGGCGCACGUGAUAGCAUCCGAGCCAAUGAGUGAGCCCCGGUCCGGCCCGUGGGAAGCCAUCUUGAGAGUGGGUACGUGGCGGGUCAGAUGCAGAGAAGCGUGCUUGCGGGAGGUUGCCGCCAUGUUGCAAGCGGGCAAUGGCAGCCGUUGGCCUUCAGCGUGAGGGCAAAGCGAAGUGUGUCGCCAUCUUAAAACCGGGCAGUAAUUCCCUUAUCGCCCCAGCUUGCUUGCGGUCACGUGACCAAAACUUCGCCUUUAAGCCGAGUUUGUCCUAGACUAGAGAGCAGGGCGAUGGAGGCCACGUGCUUCGUAGCCACAGUCCCGACUUGAUUGUGCAGUAUUCCUUUCCAUCUUUUGUCUACCCCACAGCGGCCAAGCGCCACCUCUGUUGCAGCAAUGGGGAAAUUGACAAAACGGACCGGCGUGUGGCCGGCUCUGCCUAUAGCUGGGGAAAACGAGACCACAAAGUGUCGAGUUGUGUGCCCUACAAUUAGGCUCAGGAGCAAGCACAGUCCACUGGAGGACCAGAGCCUCGCCUUCUUGAGCCUCCACCCCGAGACAGCACUCAAAAUGGAUACCCCAGGAGCCAGGGUUCUGCAUUCCAGUCUUGGGGUGGGGGUGAGAGCUGGAGCCGGGUUCUUCAGAGCCUAGUGCAGGCUGUAGAGAGAUUCUGGGCAUGCCUUUGAUGUGGCUCCCAAAGACGCAAAUUAUUCGGAUUCUCGUUGACUUCGUUUUCUGCUAAAAAAAAAAAAAGAAGAAGAAGGAGGAGGAAGAGGAAGAGGAAGAAGAAGAAGAAGAAGAAGAAGAAGAAGAAGAAGAAGAAGAAGAAGAAGAAGAAGAAGAAGAAGAAGAAAAAGCCCAGGAAAGGGGAAAAGUUUCUCCCUCCACAGAGGCCUGGCCAGGGGCCCAACAGCCUUAGAGCCCUAACGCGGGCCUGGUGCCAGAGGAUUCCAGCCUGGAUUAGGGGCGGCUGCCGAUUUCCACGGAGGCCCCUCCAGGAGAGGUCUUUAAGGCCCCAGUCAGCCCGCAGAACAGCUAGCUUGAAGGCCCAGAAUCACUAAUCAGGACCGUCCCGCGGAUUUAGAAGAAGCCUCCCAGCAAGCAGAGGAUUUGAGCCCUCUGGGACUCCCAUCAGGUCCUGACUGCACCAUUCGAGGCCAAGGUUGACUGCCAGUCUUUGUUCUCUUGGCUGGUGCCAAGCAUGGGCCCCACCCUCGGAAGCCAACCUGUAUUGGUGUAUGUGCUGGGGUGGAGACUGCCGGUCUCCAAGCACAGGUCUACACUGGCUAAGUCUAUUAAAAGCCACUUUGGAGCCUG